GGUCGCAUCGUAUAGCGGAUAUUAUAUCCGGUUGUCAGCCGGAGGAUCGGGGUUCAACUCCCCGUGUGACCGCCA
RNAcentral lists this transfer RNA (75 nucleotides) under Ruminococcaceae bacterium YRB3002. Its description in RNAcentral is "tRNA_Asp_GTC". It matches the Rfam family "tRNA". Rfam says of the family: Transfer RNA (tRNA) molecules are approximately 80 nucleotides in length. Lineage: Bacteria; Bacillati; Bacillota; Clostridia; Eubacteriales; Oscillospiraceae. The record is from RNAcentral.